AUCAAAGAGAUUUAUUGCUUACUUAUCUAAACAAAGUAGUUAUUUACUGUGGUAAGAAAACAGCUAUAAGAAAGAGGGAAAAAAUAGAAAAGAAGGAAAUCUGGCAAGCAGUCGGGAUAGAGUUGCAGCAAGAGAUAGUCACCACCAUGGAUCCAGCAGCAUCCCGCUGGUCUGGAGUCUCCGUGUACUUUGGUGGGGGGGUUCCACUCGCCGUUGGAUCACACAGUCUUUUAUAGGGUCUUAGUGCAUUCCUGCGCAUGCUCUCAGUCCUGGCACGCUGCAUCAUCUAUACAAUCUUUACAACUGAGGUGUUAGGUUUAGGCCUGUUCUGCUAACAGGCAGGGUACACCACAAAAUGGCCACAAGCUACAGUUUAUUAAACAAGCACACUAAAGCACAUAAGCACACUAAUGCAAAUCAGGUAUAUUUCUCUCUAUAUAUAGUAAAUAAGUAGAAUAAAGCAAAUCAGAUAUAUACAUAUAAGCAAAGUACAGAGGAAAAUGAGCAAUGAAUCAAAUCAUUACUGCAUAGAGAGAACAGAGAUUAAGAAGAAGUACAUCACCAAUUUGGGUGACAUGGGUUAGUGUGUGGUGUCCCUGCCCAUGGCAGGGGGGGUGGAACUAGAUGAUCUUAAGGUCCUUUCCAACCCUAACUAUUCUAUCAUUCUAUGAUUCUAUAAAUCACCACCGAGUCAUCCUCCAGGCCCACACUUCAGCUGGGAAGCCCUGUUGCAGCCGAUGCCGGGAGUCUCAGGAUAUUGGGAAAGUUCCUACACGGUGCGUCCACCCAUAGGUGAGGCCUCGGAUUCGGCUACAAGAGGCUCCUGCUUUUGUACCCUUAGAAACACAACCAGCUUUAUGCCAGCUCUGUCACUGUUUACUCGUGGGGCCGUGCAGUUUCUCAUCAUCUCAGUGUUGGCUGUGCCGAGAGCGUUGGCCAGGCGCCCCGGCGUGCCCAAGUGGGAAGCUCAUAGAACAGCUGCACCCUCAUGUUUUCCUGCCUCUUUCUGACAAACAGUCACCAUGAACAUACACAUAUAUACUCUACCCAAUACACUGUGACACAAACAUCCUGUGUUAUGUCUCUCAGUCAUGAGAGGGAAUCAACUCUCAGCUAGGUUCCCAUCCGUUACACAGAGUCACAGCCAAAUCCAAGCAGAGUAGCUGUAUGCACAUGUUGGUUUGGGGCUGCAGCUGUGGAGCUAUUGGUGACUCACAUCCAAUGCAAGAGGGUGUAUUCACUGGCAGGAGGUGUCUGCAUUCAAGACAUGGUGCCAUCUGGAUUCAAAGCUCUUAUUCAGACCUGAUUUCAUUUCUAGAAGAGUAUUUGUGUCUACUUCAUGUUUAGCCUUCCCUGGAAGAGGGAUUCCAAGUGGCAUGACCUGAGGAACUGGGACAGAGCCAGCCGCCACUUUCUCCACACCCCGCUCACCCCGCUCCUGCCCGGCUCCUUCCGGCUCCAUCCCGGUUCGAUCCCGGCUCCAUCCCGGUUCGAUCCCGGCUCGAUCCCGGCUCCAUCCCGGCCUCUCCCCUCCACACCCCC
Molecule: long non-coding RNA, 1542 nt
Filed under: Strigops habroptila (Kakapo)
Lineage: Eukaryota; Metazoa; Chordata; Aves; Psittaciformes; Psittacidae
Description: lncRNA (ENSSHBG00005013641.1)
Source: RNAcentral